AAAGUCGUAACAAGGUAACCGUAGGUGAACCUGCGGUUGGAUCAUUAAUAAAUUCAAGGGAGUCGGCUAGCUUCGGUUAGUGCGAUUCCUGGGCUCUCGGGCCUUGAACCCACUGUGAACUGUUUGACUUGGCCUAGCUUGCUAGCGUCAACUUUUAACCUAAUCUUAUUUGUCUUAUAAAAAUUAAAUAGCAACAACUUUUGACAACGGAUCUCUAGGCUCUC
This 224-nucleotide unclassified non-coding RNA is filed under the name Chytridiomycota sp. RNAcentral's name for it is "partial contains small subunit ribosomal RNA, internal transcribed spacer 1, and 5.8S ribosomal RNA". The stretch from base 1 to 47 matches the Rfam family "Eukaryotic small subunit ribosomal RNA", at positions 1785 to 1831 of the family's 1831-position model. The record is from RNAcentral. Lineage: Eukaryota; Fungi; Chytridiomycota.